CCUACGGGUGGCAGCAGUGGGGAAUAUUGGACAAUGGGGGGAACCCUGAUCCAGCCAUGCCGCGUGUGUGAAGAAGGCCCUCGGGUUGUAAAGCACUUUCAGUGAGGAAGAACGCCUGGUGGUUAAUACCCAUCAGGAAAGACAUCACUUACAGAAGAAGCACCGGCUAACUCCGUGCCAGCAGCCGCGGUAAUACGGAGGGUGCGAGCGUUAAUCGGAAUUACUGGGCGUAAAGCGCGCGUAGGUGGCUUGAUAAGCCGGUUGUGAAAGCCCCGGGCUCAACCUGGGAACGGCAUCCGGAACUGUCAAGCUAGAGUGCAGGAGAGGAAGGUAGAAUUCCCGGUGUAGCGGUGAAAUGCGUAGAGAUCGGGAGGAAUACCAGUGGCGAAGGCGGCCUUCUGGACUGACACUGACACUGAGGUGCGAAAGCGUGGGUAGCAAACAGGAUUAGAUACCCCAGUAGUC
This 465-nucleotide ribosomal RNA is filed under the name Vreelandella stevensii. Its description in RNAcentral is "partial 16S ribosomal RNA". It matches the Rfam family "Bacterial small subunit ribosomal RNA", at positions 338 to 795 of the family's 1533-position model. Lineage: Bacteria; Pseudomonadati; Pseudomonadota; Gammaproteobacteria; Oceanospirillales; Halomonadaceae. The record is from RNAcentral.